This 562-nucleotide ribosomal RNA is filed under the name uncultured bacterium. Its description in RNAcentral is "bacterial LSU rRNA". It matches the Rfam family "Bacterial large subunit ribosomal RNA", at positions 1167 to 1798 of the family's 2925-position model. The record is from RNAcentral.
AAAAUGAUUGGCGAUAAGUGGCAUGCCGAAGCCGCGGGAUCCAGAGCGGUUCGCCGCACUGGAUCGGUAGGGGAGCGUAAUCGUGACGGUGAAGACUGUCUGGAAGGACUUUUGGAGUCGCGAUUAGUGAGAAUGCAGACACGAGUAGCGAUAAACCGGGUAAGAAUCCCCGGUCGCCGUAAACCCAAGGUUUCCUGGGGCCAGGUUCGUCCUCCCAGGGUUAGUCGGGAGCUAAGACGAGGUCGUAGGACGUAGUCGAUGCACAGCCGGUCAAUAUUCCGGCACCAGACUGGGUCAAACCGUUGGUGACGCAGAGAGAAAAGCGGACAAGUCAUUGAAAGACAGAGCCUAGGGGCAACCCGAAGCGCGCCGCCGGACAAUCUGCCUAGAAAACCCAACGGCCCUUUCCCAGCCUGCCCGUACCGUAAACCGACACAGGUGGGUGAGUCGAAUAGACUAAGGCGCGCGAGAGAGCCCUCUCUAAGGAACUCGGCAAAUUAACCCCGUAACUUCGGGAUAAGGGGCGCUCACUUCGGUGAGCCACAGUAAAUUGCGUUUAGCG